RNAcentral lists this ribosomal RNA (1353 nucleotides) under metagenome. RNAcentral describes it as "bacterial SSU rRNA". It matches the Rfam family "Bacterial small subunit ribosomal RNA", at positions 116 to 1464 of the family's 1533-position model. The record is from RNAcentral.
UAUCGGAACGUACCAUUCAGUGGGGGAUAACGUAGCGAAAGUUACGCUAAUACCGCAUAUUCUGUGCGCAGGAAAGCAGGGGAUCGCAAGACCUUGCGCUGAUUGAGCGGCCGAUAUCAGAUUAGCUAGUUGGUGGGGUAAAAGCUCACCAAGGCGACGAUCUGUAGCGGGUCUGAGAGGAUGAUCCGCCACACUGGAACUGAGACACGGUCCAGACUCCUACGGGAGGCAGCAGUGGGGAAUUUUGGACAAUGGGGGCAACCCUGAUCCAGCCAUGCCGCGUGAGUGAAGAAGGCCUUCGGGUUGUAAAGCUCUUUCGGCCGGGAAAAAAUCGCAUGGGUUAAUACCCUGUGUGGAUGAUGGUACCGGAAUAAGAAGCACCGGCUAACUACGUGCCAGCAGCCGCGGUAGUACGUAGGGUGCGAGCGUUAAUCGGAAUUACUGGGCGUAAAGCGUGCGCAGGCGGUUUUGUAAGACAGGCGUGAAAUCCCCGGGCUCAACCUGGGAACUGCGCUUGUGACUGCAAGGCUAGAGUAUGGCAGAGGGGGGUGGAAUUCCACGUGUAGCAGUGAAAUGCGUAGAGAUGUGGAGGAACACCAAUGGAGAAGGCAGCCCCCUGGGCCAAUACUGACGCUCAUGCACGAAAGCGUGGGUAGCAAACAGGAUUAGAUACCCUGGUAGUCCACGCCCUAAACGAUGUCAACUAGGUGUUGGGAGGGUAAAACCUUUUAGUACCGGAGCUAACGCGUGAAGUUGACCGCCUGGGGAGUACGGCCGCAAGGUUAAAACUCAAAGGAAUUGACGGGGACCCGCACAAGCGGUGGAUGAUGUGGAUUAAUUCGAUGCAACGCGAAAAACCUUACCUACCCUUGACAUGUCCAGGAGCCUGAAGAGAUUUGGGUGUGCCCGAAAGGGAACUGGAACACAAGUGCUGCAUGGCUGUCGUCAGCUCGUGUCGUGAGAUGUUGGGUUAAGUCCCGCAACGAGCGCAACCCUUGUCGUUAAUUGCCAUCAUUCAGUUGGGCACUUUAACGAGACUGCCGGUGACAAACCGGAGGAAGGUGGGGAUGACGUCAAGUCCUCAUGGCCCUUAUGGGUAGGGCUUCACACGUCAUACAAUGGUCGGUACGAAGGGUUGCCAACCCGCGAGGGGGAGCCAAUCCCAGAAAGCCGAUCGUAGUCCGGAUUGCAGGCUGCAACUCGCCUGCAUGAAGUCGGAAUCGCUAGUAAUCGUGGAUCAGCAUGUCACGGUGAAUACGUUCCCGGGUCUUGUACACACCGCCCGUCACACCAUGGGAGCGGGUUCCGCCAGAAGUAGGUAGCCUAACCGCAAGGGGGGCGCUUACCACGGCG